This 212-nucleotide long non-coding RNA is filed under the name Homo sapiens (human). RNAcentral describes it as "HSALNT0027202". The record is from RNAcentral. Lineage: Eukaryota; Metazoa; Chordata; Mammalia; Primates; Hominidae.
CUGGUUUUUCUGCUUGAAGGUCCUGGGGUCCCCUCCAGUCUUGACCACACACUUUGGGUACCAACACACUUUGGGUACCACACUCAGUCUCACAGACCUUUCAACUAUUCCCUCUUCUCUGCCAUGUAAAAUUUAAUUCCUUAGAGCUGAAUGAUCAGGACAUUCACGGUAGAGUCGGCUUCCCGAAAUUUCUAGAUAUGGCUUCCUGUGGG